RNAcentral lists this ribosomal RNA (465 nucleotides) under uncultured bacterium. RNAcentral's name for it is "partial 16S ribosomal RNA". It matches the Rfam family "Bacterial small subunit ribosomal RNA", at positions 28 to 507 of the family's 1533-position model. The record is from RNAcentral.
GAUGAACGCUGGCGGCGUGCUUAACACAUGCAAGUCGAACGGAAAGGCUCCUGCUUGCAGGGGUACUCGAGUGGCGAACGGGUGAGUAACACGUGGGUGAUCUGCCCUGCACUUCGGGAUAAGCCUGGGAAACUGGGUCUAAUACCGGAUAGGACGAUGGUUUGGAUGCCAUUGCGGAAAGUUUUUCGGUGUGGGAUGAGCUCGCGGCCUAUCAGCUUGUUGGUGGGGUAAUGGCCUACCAAGGCGUCGACGGGUAGCCGGCCUGAGAGGGUGUACGGCCACAUUGGGACUGAGAUACGGCCCAGACUCCUACGGGAGGCAGCAGUGGGGAAUAUUGCACAAUGGGCGCAAGCCUGAUGCAGCGACGCCGCGUGGGGGAUGACGGCCUUCGGGUUGUAAACUCCUUUCGCUAGGGACGAAGCGCAAGUGACGGUACCUGGAGAAGAAGCACCGGCUAACUACGUG